AACCGCCACCGUAUCAGCCUGAAGGCGCCCGAUCUCGUCUGAUCUCGGAAGCUAAGCAGGGUCGGGCCUGGUUAGUAUCUUGGAUGGGAGACCACCUGGGAAUCCCGGGUGCUCGAGGCUU
Ribosomal RNA from Bison bison bison, 121 nucleotides. Lineage: Eukaryota; Metazoa; Chordata; Mammalia; Artiodactyla; Bovidae. The record is from Ensembl.